This is a long non-coding RNA of Xenia sp. Carnegie-2017, 91 nucleotides long. RefSeq lists it as uncharacterized. The record is from RefSeq and is a predicted model, not a curated record. The transcript is spliced from 3 exons. Lineage: Eukaryota; Metazoa; Cnidaria; Anthozoa; Malacalcyonacea; Xeniidae.
UGUUGACAUGCUCGCCGAAGAUCUGAUGCCCGCGACUGCGCAGGAUAUCCAUACCGUGGCGGAAGCGCCGUCCAUGUACUCUGGUUGAUAU